GACAAAGGGAGGAAGAAGAGGUCACAUUUGAGAAGCUGGCAACAAAUCUCUUUCAGCAAAUCAACUCAAAUUUCAUUAGAUUAGAACAAAAUAAGUGCUGCUGCAACUUUGGUUCUUUCACUUCUCUCUCCUAAUCUUGAUUUAAAAUCAAUUUUAAAGGUCACAUAUUCUGUUAAAUACACUUCACCAUGUUUCUCUAACACUAACAUGUGUCUCUAGUCUGUCUACAAACCCCCCAAUGAUGAGAAAAGUCCAUCCUCUCCAUCUUUUGCCUGCUCCACUUUUCAGAAAAUGUGUGCUCAAACAGGCCGUUUAGAGAUUUUCCCUUCAUGACAUCACAAAGGGCAGUAGCCCCUCCCCCAGGUGGGUGACACUCCCACAGCUAGGUGUUUGUUCUGCCCUCUGAGUCUGCCUUCUCACCGUAAACAAUAGAGCAGGUAGCGAGAAAGCCCGAGUACACCCAAGCCCUUCCAGAGAGGGGGCGUGGUCAAACACAGCUCAUUUACAUAUUUAAAGGUACAGACACAGAAACAGCCUGUUCUGAGCAGGGCUGAAAUAAAGGGGUUUAUAGUCAUGAUCAAAUACAGGAUCAGAGUGGAUUUAGAACAAGAAACUUCACAGACAUGUUUUGUGCAGCUCUGAGACUUAUUUAAACUGAAGAGGAGGAGAAUAUGUGACCUUUAAACCAUGAAGAUUGCCAGUGCUAGUGAUGACUUUUGUUCUCAUAUCUGUGCUGUAUCGCUGACCAUCUACUAUUUGUAAUGAUGUAAAGUUUUCAAUAAAUUCGCAAAUUAAUCUAUUGUUCAUUUGUAUAAAUUUCUCUGUCAGAUCAAAUUAGCAGUAACCCCCCCAUUGAUAGAAAAAUGUACAAUGAGGUAUCUUAAAACAUGAAUUAUAAUAAUCUAAAAACAUCAUAACACAAUACUAAUCAGAAAGCUACGAAGCCCCUAAAGGGACAUAGGCAGAAAAAAUAAAAAUAUAUGUUUCUCGUGCGCACCAGAAACUAACCGGUGCUCACGUGAAAGUUUUUUGUGUGCACCAGAUAUCAGGUGCACAACGGAAACCAGCCAGUCUUAGUCUUAGCUUAGACAGUACAGGACUUAUUUGAGCUAUAUUUUAACCAUGGACUUAAUUACAAGGACAGAACUGCUUUGCUUGUGCACCGUCACCGUUAUAUUGUCUCAGAAAGACAUUUAAAACGGAUGUUAAAGUCUUGUCAUCUGUUUUGGCGCAAGGGAUACACUGAGAAAUAUAUUCACAGAUUCAGCUAUCCCGGAUCAAUAACUCAUCAGCGGAACAUUGCUCUUACAAAACCGACACCUCUCUGCAAUCACAACAAGAUAGACUGCGAGCUACAUUGGUAUUUUCCUCAAAACGAGCCGUCCUCCGCGCUGGGGAACUUGCAUUGGCCUCUAAGCAGAGCCGGCUGGUGCUCGAAUGCGCAGGGACCGUCUGCAAAUUGCAAUACCGAAAAUAUAUGACACAGAAAUAUUCAAUAACUUCACCCAGGAGAGGUGUAGUGUCAUGAAAAUCAUUUUACACAUAUGUGAUCUCACGUUUUUCAUACUACAUUUCUCAGAUUGGAAAAUAAUACUUUAAAAACAAAUUGAGGAUUUUUCAAUAGCCUAUAAAUAACCCAAUGUUCAAUAAAAUCCCUUUUGUAAGGUGUAGGGUAAAACAAAAACCCAUUAUGAAUAAAUGUCCUCCUGCUCUAUGAACUACAUCUCAUUGCUUUGGAUAAAGGGCUUUCAUGUAAUUUUAGUGAUUUUUUAUCAUUAAAUUUGGUAAUAAAAUAUGUAAUAACUAUACUAUAACAUGUUGUAGUGCCAUCAAACUCACAGCACACAUAAUAUAAAAGCGUUAAGCAUGAUUUACUUUAUGUGUGAUGAAAUAUUUCAGUGACCCGAGAGCCUACAAUGGUGACUUUUUUUUAAUGAUAUCCAUGUUAAAAAAUCCCUUAAAUUAUUAUUGCCUUUGUUGUUUCUAUCCACUCUGGGCUUUCUGUGUGUGUGUGUGUGUGUGUGUGUGUGUGUGUGUGUGUGUGUGUGUGUGUGACAUCUCUAUAGUGGUGUUUAUGAGUAGGGUCCUGCUGUUGCUGUAGUUUUGGAAGUGGAGCAACAUUUUA
Long non-coding RNA from Labrus mixtus (cuckoo wrasse), 2125 nucleotides. RefSeq lists it as uncharacterized. The transcript has 2 exons. Lineage: Eukaryota; Metazoa; Chordata; Actinopteri; Labriformes; Labridae. The record is from RefSeq and is a predicted model, not a curated record.